CAACUGGAGAGUUUGAUCCUGGCUCAGAAUCAACGCUGGCGGCGUGCCUAACACAUGCAAGUCGAGCGCGAACGGGGACUUCGGUUCCCUAGUAGAGCGGCGAACGGGUGAGUAACACGUGGGUAAUCUGCCUCCGGGUGGGGAAUAACUCAGGGAAACUUGAGCUAAUUCCGCAUAACGUGGCCGAUCACAAGAUCGGCUACCAAAGCUGGGGACCCUUCGGGGCCUGGCGCCUGGAGAGGAGCCCGCGGCCAAUUAGCUUGUUGGUGAGGUAAUGGCUCACCAAGGCUCCGAUUGGUAGCCGGCCUGAGAGGGCGGACGGUCACACUGGAACUGAGACACGGUCCAGACUCCUACGGGAGGCAGCAGUGAGGAAUU
Molecule: ribosomal RNA, 378 nt
Filed under: Acidobacteriota bacterium
Lineage: Bacteria; Pseudomonadati; Acidobacteriota
Description: bacterial SSU rRNA
Rfam family: Bacterial small subunit ribosomal RNA
Source: RNAcentral